Long non-coding RNA from Triticum aestivum (bread wheat), 2617 nucleotides. RefSeq lists it as uncharacterized. The transcript has 2 exons. The record is from RefSeq and is a predicted model, not a curated record. Lineage: Eukaryota; Viridiplantae; Streptophyta; Magnoliopsida; Poales; Poaceae.
UAGGCUUGAGCCCAGCCCGGGGGCAGCGUCGGGUCGGGCCGGGCCGGGCUUUUUCGGGCCGGGUCGGGCCGGGCCGGGCUUCCCAUGGCCAGGACUAGCUGGAUCACACUAAAUGGGCUUGGGAGGACAAUGAGCACUACUCGGCGAUCUUGGCCUAUGCCUCCAAAUUUUGGGGCCUGGAAGUGGCUCCAUAUGCGGAUCUGGCGUGAAGCCCAAAGCUCCGUCACAGUGCAGAUUCUUUGAUUGGCUUGCCGUACGGAACAUAUGUUGGACCUCAGAUCGGCUAUGUGGCCUACCCCACCAGUCGGCAUGCCCCCUCUGCGAUCAGGACAUGGAGAAGAUCAAUCACAUUAUGCUCACUUGUGUUUUCGCCAGAUUAGUAUGGCACACGAUACUAACAACUCUUAGCAAAGAACACUGAACACCAAUGGUGGAGGCAGAUUUGAUCACAUGGUGCAAUUCGUGCACAGUGGCCAACAUCACAAUCAAGGACAGCCGCACCAUCCUCUUACUAGGCCUGUGGGAGCCAUGGAAGCAUUGAAAUGCUGUCGUUUUUGAUGGUGCAACUCCAUCCGUUGGGGUCGUGAUUGCUAGGGUAGAGAGCAGGUGUCGAGCGUGGAAAUCUGCUGGCCUCUUGAAGGGCGAAUUCACCGCCUUCUUGGGAGAGCGUGUAGUUAGUUAGUUUUUGCUGGCGUACGGGCAUGGAGUUCUUGCAUGUAAUCUAUCGUAAGAACGAAAUGUGGAUGGGGCUUUUUACCCCCCUCUUCUUCUUUAAUAUACGAUAUGCACACUCGUGCGUAUUCUAGAAAAAAAGCAUGGGACUAUAUGCACAUCAUUGGGGGGCGACUACAAUAGAAGAAGGGCCACCGGUGCAAAAAUAGAAAAAAUCGGUCUGGGCCAUUAGAUCCCGGCUGAAUGGUCCAGAUUCUAGUGGAUGGAUCUGAGCUAGGUACUUUGCAGAAAACACCCUUUGUUAUAGUCAUUUUGCUUUCAGGAUCAUCUUCUCCACCGUAGGAACGCAACAGAGCAGGCCCAAAUCCCCCAACCUGCGGCCGCCUACUCUUGGACAAGCCCUGCCGACGGUGGCGGCGGGCCAGAUCCGGUGCCUAGCCGGGCGAUUGCGGCCAGUGGAGGUCCAGAUCCAGCACUCCGCCGUCUCGUCGGCGGCGGUCUGGCUGCCCCGAUGGACCUCCCAUGUUUUAAGCUGCGGCCUUGUGCGGACAAGUACUCUGCUCCGACGUCCAGAGGACAACCUCGCUCCAUCCUUUUUCCUACCCAACCAGACCAUUCUCCACAUGUCGCCUGCACCCCUGCCCGUCUAGCUUUGCCAUCUGGGAACGCCUGAGAAGAAAACUACGGCCAGCCUUCUGGUAUGCUUGUCUACCAGGUUGCUACGAGUUCUCAUAGUUAAUUCUGUAGCAUUUCAUUUCGAAAAUAUUUUGUUCAACUAUCCAUAUCAUCUACACCGUAUUUUGGUCCUUCAUCCCUGAAAGUACUUUUGCUUUAAAAAAAGUGUGCUUGGAGCAUAGUAGUAUGUUGUAUCGUUGUUGGAUGUUGUAUAAUUCUGCAUCUUUGGAAAUGAUAUGACUGGCAACAUUUUGAAAAUUCUAAGCAUAUGCACAUUUAGUUUAGAUAAACAUAUUUUUAUCUUUAGUAGCAGUAGCUUGGAAGUUUACAAUUACUUUUGGGCAAAGGCGCUAUAUUCAGAAGUAUGCUUGAUUAGUACAGUAGCAAACCCACUAGUAUGUAUACACAUUUCUCUAUACCAAAUUCAGUUGAUUUUGAGAGACCUUUAUCCAGUGUUGAUUAGCCAUAACAAAAAAACACAAUGUGUGCUUACUUAAAAAUUUGGACUGGCCAACUAGUUUGUGCUCAUCUGGGUUAUGCUUGCUUUUAACUUGAGAGCAAUAACAUGGAUAUCCCUCUGUAUGCUUGCCUGUGAGGUUGCAACCAAUUUUUCUUAGUUGAUUACGUAACAUUUAUUUAGGAAAUCAUUUUCGUUCAAUGUCUGUACUGCAAACAAUAUCCCUCUGUAUGCUUGUCUAUGUGUGUAUGUAGAAAAGAAGACAUUCUUUCUGUGUAUUUUUAAUUUCCAAAAGGGGCACUUGCUCUAGAAUAAAGGGACACAGGAAUAGUGUGAGGAGUGAGUCCAGGAGAAGAAAAGAAGACCUGGAAUUCAUCAAAAGGACGCAUGCAAGUCACCAUUUGUAAGGGAGUGGUGUUCCAUGAUGCAAGGACAUGCUCUAAGAAACAAAUGACACAACAGUAGAGAUGCGCUCUCACAACCGGAAACAUCAGGCCUACAGAUGGAUAGAAGAAGCUCUUAUCAAAGUCUCCCCUUUCUGACAAUUGAGAGAAUUUCUCUGCAAGAUAAAUUUAACUCUAUUCUUGAUCAUGCAUCUGUAUGUGCCUAUGCUCAACUGAAUUGGGUUUGCUUGGUGUGAUCUUUCCCAGAACAAGAACCUUCAUGAGAAAGUAGUAGAAUUGGAGGGAAAGGGUAGAGCUUUUUGUUAUGUACCAUCAAGAUAUUAGUCCUUAAUACUCUGUCUUGCUGGCCAUGUACUAAAAAUGGUGCUACCAUGCCUCAUCAAGAUAUGUAUGCUUGUGAUAUGCUCAA